This 238-nucleotide ribosomal RNA is filed under the name uncultured bacterium. RNAcentral describes it as "partial 16S ribosomal RNA". It matches the Rfam family "Bacterial small subunit ribosomal RNA", at positions 96 to 334 of the family's 1533-position model. The record is from RNAcentral.
CGGCGGACGGGUGAGUAACGCGUGGGUAACCUGCCUCAUACAGGGGGAUAACAGUUAGAAAUGACUGCUAAUACCGCAUAAGGCCACGGUACCGCAUGGUACAGUGGUAAAAACUCCGGUGGUAUGAGAUGGACCCGCGUCUGAUUAGGUAGUUGGUGGGGUAACGGCCUACCAAGCCGACGAUCAGUAGCCGACCUGAGAGGGUGACCGGCCACAUUGGGACUGAGACACGGCCCAG